RNAcentral lists this non-coding RNA (28 nucleotides) under Bombyx mori (domestic silkworm). The record is from RNAcentral. Lineage: Eukaryota; Metazoa; Arthropoda; Insecta; Lepidoptera; Bombycidae.
UGUUUACGUGGUGAUGCUAAAACUUGGU